Molecule: ribosomal RNA, 897 nt
Filed under: uncultured bacterium
Lineage: Bacteria
Description: bacterial SSU rRNA
Rfam family: Bacterial small subunit ribosomal RNA
Source: RNAcentral
AGAGUUUGAUCAUGGCUCAGGACGAACGCUGGCGGCGUGCUUAACACAUGCAAGUCGAACGGAAAGGCCCUGCUUUUGUGGGGUGCUCGAGUGGCGAACGGGUGAGUAACACGUGAGUAACCUGCCCUUGACUUUGGGAUAACUUCAGGAAACUGGGGCUAAUACCGGAUAGGAGCUCCUGCUGCAUGGUGGGGGUUGGAAAGUUUCGGCGGUUGGGGAUGGACUCGCGGCUUAUCAGCUUGUUGGUGGGGUAGUGGCUUACCAAGGCUUUGACGGGUAGCCGGCCUGAGAGGGUGACCGGCCACAUUGGGACUGAGAUACGGCCCAGACUCCUACGGGAGGCAGCAGUGGGGAAUAUUGCACAAUGGGCGGAAGCCUGAUGCAGCAACGCCGCGUGCGGGAUGACGGCCUUCGGGUUGUAAACCGCUUUCGCCUGUGGCGAAGCGUGAGUGACGGUAAUGGGUAAAGAAGCACCGGCUAACUACGUGCCAGCAGCCGCGGUGAUACGUAGGGUGCGAGCGUUGUCCGGAUUUAUUGGGCGUAAAGGGCUCGUAGGUGGUUGAUCGCGUCGGAAGUGUAAUCUUGGGGCUUAACCCUGAGCGUGCUUUCGAUACGGGUUGACUUGAGGAAGGUAGGGGAGAAUGGAAUUCCUGGUGGAGCGGUGGAAUGCGCAGAUAUCAGGAGGAACACCAGUGGCGAAGGCGGUUCUCUGGGCCUUUCCUGACGCUGAGGAGCGAAAGCGUGGGGAGCGAACAGGCUUAGAUACCCUGGUAGUCCACGCUGUAAACGGUGGGUACUAGGUGUGGGGUCCAUUCCACGGGUUCCGUGCCGUAGCUAACGCUUUAAGUACCCCGCCUGGGGAGUACGGCCGCAAGGCUAAACUCAAGGGAUUGACGG